RNAcentral lists this ribosomal RNA (594 nucleotides) under uncultured Bacteroidota bacterium. RNAcentral's name for it is "bacterial SSU rRNA". It matches the Rfam family "Bacterial small subunit ribosomal RNA", at positions 122 to 715 of the family's 1533-position model. Lineage: Bacteria; Pseudomonadati; Bacteroidota. The record is from RNAcentral.
CAACCUGCCGAUGACUCGGGGAUAGCCUUUCGAAAGAAAGAUUAAUACCCGAUGGCAUAGUUCUUCCGCAUGGUAGAACUAUUAAAGAAUUUCGGUCAUCGAUGGGGAUGCGUUCCAUUAGGUUGUUGGCGGGGUAACGGCCCACCAAGCCUUCGAUGGAUAGGGGUUCUGAGAGGAAGGUCCCCCACAUUGGAACUGAGACACGGUCCAAACUCCUACGGGAGGCAGCAGUGAGGAAUAUUGGUCAAUGGACGAGAGUCUGAACCAGCCAAGUAGCGUGAAGGAUGACUGCCCUAUGGGUUGUAAACUUCUUUUAUACGGGAAUAAAGUGAGGCACGUGUGCCUUUUUGUAUGUACCGUAUGAAUAAGGAUCGGCUAACUCCGUGCCAGCAGCCGCGGUAAUACGGAGGGUCCGAGCGUUAUCCGGAUUUAUUGGGUUUAAAGGGAGCGUAGGCGGACGCUUAAGUCAGUUGUGAAAGUUUGCGGCUCAACCGUAAAAUUGCAGUUGAUACUGGGUGUCUUGAGUACAGUAGAGGCAGGCGGAAUUCGUGGUGUAGCGGUGAAAUGCUUAGAUAUCACGAAGAACUCCGAUUG